UGAAUACGAGAUGCUACGGCGUCGAAGCAGUCUAUGUCAUACUUCCAAGAAAAGCUUGCACUGUCAUAAACAAAUAAUGCCUGUACCAUAACCGACACAGGUGGGUAGGUAGAGUAUACUAAGGGGCGCGAGAUAACUCUCUCUAAGGAACUCGGCAAAAUGACUCCGUAACUUCGGGAGAAGGAGUGCCUUAUUUAUAAGGUUGCAAUAACAAGAUCCAAGCAACUGUUUACCAAAAACACAGGUCUCCGCUAAGUCGUAAGACGAUGUAUGGGGGCUGACGCCUGCCCAGUGCCAGAAGGUUAAAGAAGUUGGUUAGCAUCCGCGAAGCUGAUAACUGAAGCCCUGGUGAACGGCGGCCGUAACCAUAACGGUCCUAAGGUAGCGAAAUUCCUUGUCGGGUAAGUUCCGACCCGCACGAAAGGCGUAAUGAUUUGGAUACUGUCUCGGAGAGGGGCUCGGUGAAAUAGACUUGUCUGUGAAGAUGCGGACUACCUGCACCAGGACAGAAAGACCCUAUGAAGCUUUACUGUAACCUGAAAUUGAAAUUGGACUUUACUUGCGCAGUAUAGGUGGGAGGCGUUGAGAAUAUUCUUGCGGGAUUAUUGGAGCCAUCAGUGAGAUACCACUCUUGUAAUGUUAGAUUUCUAACUUUGUAUCAUUAUCUGGUCAAAGAACAGUUUCAGGCGGGCAGUUUGACUGGGGCGGUCGCCUCCUAAACGGUAACGGAGGCGCACAAAGGUUUCCUCUGAACGGGUAGAAAUCGUAUCUAGAGUGUAAAGGCAUAAGGAAGCUUGACUGUGAGACCUACAAGUCGAGCAGGGACGAAAGUCGGUCUUAGUGAUCCGACGGUGCUGAGUGGAAAGGCCGUCACUCAACGGAUAAAAGUUACUCUAAGGAUAACAGGCUGAUCUCCCCCAAGAGUUCACAUCGACGGGGAGGUUUGGCACCUCGAUGUCGGCUCAUCGCAUCCUGGGGCGGUAGUACGUCCCAAGGGUUGGGCUGUUCGCCCAUGAAAGCGGUACGCGAGCUGGGUUCAGAACGUCGUGAGACAGUUCGGUCCAUAUCCGGUGUAGGCGUUAGAAUAUUGAGAGGAGCCUUCUUUAGUACGAGAGGACCGAGAAGGACAUACCUCUGGUGUACCAGUUAUCGUGCCAACGGUAAACGCUGGGUAGCUAUGUGUGGAGUGGAUAACCGCUGAAAGCAUCUAAGUGGGAAGCCCACCUCAAGAUAAGUA
This 1237-nucleotide ribosomal RNA is filed under the name metagenome. Its description in RNAcentral is "bacterial LSU rRNA". It matches the Rfam family "Bacterial large subunit ribosomal RNA", at positions 1564 to 2810 of the family's 2925-position model. The record is from RNAcentral.